AGAGUUUGAUCAUGGCUCAGAGCGAACGCUGGCGGCGUGCUUAACACAUGCAAGUCGAACGCGCAGCAUUCUGUAGCAAUACAGGAUGUGGGCGCGUGGCGGACGGGUGCGUAACACGUGGAUAACCUUCCUUGAGGUGGGGAAUAACCCAGUGAAAAUUGGGCUAAUACCGCAUAACAUCGCGAUGGCACAUGCUGAUGCGAUCAAAGGCGCAAGUCGCCACAAGAGGGAUCCGCGGCCGAUUAGCUUGUUGGCGAGGUAAUGGCUCACCAAGGCAAUGAUCGGUAGCCGGACUGAGAGGUUGGCCGGCCACACUGGAACUGAGACACGGUCCAGACUCCUACGGGAGGCAGCAGUGGGGAAUCUUGCACAAUGGACGAAAGUCUGAUGCAGCAACGCCGCGUGGGGGGUGAAGCUUCUCGGAGUGUAAACCCCUUUCGACCCGGAAGAAUGCCCGCAAGGGUAUGACGGUACGGGUAUAAGAAGCCCCGGCUAACUACGUGCCAGCAGCCGCGGUAAUACGUAGGGGGCCAGCGUUGCUCGGAAUUACUGGGCGUAAAGGGUCCGUAGGCGGUGUAGCAAGUCGAUAGUGAAAUCUCUGCGCUUAACGCAGAGGCUGCUAACGAAACUGCUGUGCUAGAGUGUGAGAGAGGCGAGUGGAAUUACGGGUGUAGCGGUGAAAUGCGUAGAUAUCCGUAGGAACAUCCGAGGCGAAGGCGGCUCGCUGGAUCACAACUGACGCUGAGGGACGAAAGCUAGGGGAGCAAACAGGAUUAGAUACCCUGGUAGUCCUAGCCCUAAACCAUCAGGACUUGGGGUUUGCCCUGUAUGGGGCAAGUCCCGUAGCUAACGCGUUAAGUCCUGCGCCUGGGGAGUACGGUCGCAAGGCUGAAACUCAAAGGAAUUGACGGGGGCCCGCACAAGCGGUGGAACAUGUGUUCAAUUU
RNAcentral lists this ribosomal RNA (946 nucleotides) under uncultured bacterium. RNAcentral's name for it is "bacterial SSU rRNA". It matches the Rfam family "Bacterial small subunit ribosomal RNA", at positions 8 to 952 of the family's 1533-position model. The record is from RNAcentral.